UACAUUUUGUUAACUGAUUAUCAUCUUGCUCCCAGGAAUGAAUUACAAAAAGCUCCUAUUGGUAAUGCUGAUCUAAUUUGAAUUACAGAUGGGUCCUGCUUAAAGAAUGAACAGGUUUACUCUCCAGGUAUAAGACCAAGAAGUUAUCUCCAGAGAAGGACAUUUAUGAAGUCAGUUUAUCCCGAUGGAAGAUAAUAGGAGGAAGUAAAACUCUUUGUCUUAAAGGAUCUAUUUUGAGAAAUGAGUGGCAGAGCAAAACAUCAGAAAAUUCAUACAGGCAAGAAACCCUGUGAAUGUAAGGAAUGUGGGAAAACUUAUAGUGCAUGUGGUCAGCUUACCUGUCUGCAGAAAAUUCAUACAGGCAAGAAGCCCUGUGAAUGUUAAGGAAUGUGGGAAGGUCUUUAGACUUGAUUUUUACCUCAUUGAACACAGAAGAAUACAUACAGGAACUUCAUAUUAGGAAAUAAACCUGUUAAUGUAACUGUAAACCAAGAAUUCCAAGAACAGAGACCUGGUUGAAGAAAAAAAAAAAAAGAGAAAGGAAAAAAGCGCUUUUAUUUGGGGUUUGUUAGAACUGCUGCCCAAGAAACACAAACCCAAGAAAGUACUCGAAUUGUGUUCUGCUGGACUAUAAAAUGGGGUAGGCUUAAAAAGGUAAAAAACUGCAAAGUUACAUAAGUUGUCAAGAAUUAGGAUGUGAGCUGGCAAGAGGUAAGGGUGCUUGUUAAACAAGGAUGCUUUGGGGUUCACAAUGAUUACAUAAUUGUGUCAGGGGGUGGGAGACUUUUAAAUUACAAGGUUGCAACUAGCAGCUGCUAGCAGAUACUGUUUUGAAAACAGCUGGUGCUGUCCUUGAGUUUAAUACAAUUCAGAGAAAAUUCAAGUUCUGAGUGAUGCAUGAAUGUGUCUCAGACCAGAUCCUCAGUGUCUGCCAGAUUACAUUUUUGUAUGCCUGAACUAUGAAUACUCCAUUAUAAUUUCAAUUUGUCAUCAAAAUAAUUGUGGGGAAGUUUUUAAUCAAUGACAUAAACUUAUCAUCAUUGCCUUUACUCUCUGUGUGAUAGUGGGCAACACAUUUACCCUUCUGUGUGUCAUUUAUAAAAUGGUACCCACCUAAAAGUGUAGUUAAUAGUUUAUAACAUGUACAAUUUUGCAAAAAGUACCAGGCCAAAAAACUCCUUUGAAUGAAUAAUGGAUAUGAUUAUUUUUAUUAUCAACAUUAUACUUAGUGAGUUUCUUAAUAUAAAGAAAGACAUAAUGAAGGUAACAAAAUUAGAAAGCCAUUCAUCACUUAUUGUAUUUCAGGAAAUUCAUCUUUGAUAAAAUCCAUAAGAAUGUAAAGAUCAAAUGCAGACCUCAUUGCUUAAGUUCUACCAGAAAAUUAGAGCUGAAAAGUAACCCUAAGGAUUUAGUGAGUGUGAGAAUAUUAAGAAUAUAGCUCCUGAAAUAUCAAGGAAUGGUGUGAAGAAUUUUACCAAUAAUAUAGAAGUUAAAAGGAUAACAAAGAGCAAACUGCCUAGAAAAUAUUUACCAACUUUAUUAUGAAAAAUUUCUGACAAAAACAUAGAACACAUUCUAUAAUGAACAUCCAUUUACCCUUCACCUAGAUUUGAAAAUUUACUUUGUAUAUUUGCUUCAUUUUUCUAUAAAAUAUAAUUUUUGCUGUACCAUUUAAAGGUAAAUUGUAAACAUUAUAUCACUUUACCCUCAAUAAAUCAGUUUGUAUCCUAGAAGUUAGGAUAAUACAUAUUACCAAAAUAUUAUAAACACACCUUAAAAAUUCUAUACAUUCUAAUAUUCAGUCCAUAUUUAAUUUUCCCUAAUAUUCUCAAGAAUAUCUUUUAACAAGGAUUCACUCUCCAGGCUCAUACAUGUUAGUGGUUAUGUCACUUUUAAACUGAACAGCACUCCCCCCAUCUUUGUUUCAUGGUUAUGUUUUUUUGAAGAGUCCAUCACAGUUGUCUUAGAAUGUCUUGAUUUCUUGGUUUGUCAAAUUUAUUUCCUCAUAAUGUUGUUCAUCUUGUUACACUGUUUCUAAAUUAGAACUUAAGUAGAAGCUUGAUUUGCAUCUUGUUAAACAUUUUUAGCAAGAACACUUCACAGGUAUUUGUGACUGCCAGAUCUCUCAUUAUAAAACUAUCUUAUUUUUUUGCAAUUAGUAAGUAAUUGGGUAAUAAUUUGUACCUCCUCUUGGAAAUGUAUAAUAAUCUGUAUGUAUAAAACAAGUAAUAGAUUAAACUGAAAGUCAAAUUUUAAAUUAUAAGCCAUUCAGAAAGGACUGGUACUGAAAUGUUUAUAUUUCAAAAUUUGUGAGAUGUAGCCAAACCUCUGCUCAGUGUGAAAUUAACAUCCUUUGAUGCAUACAGGAAAUUAAAAUUAAGGGAUGGGACUUUUUGUUAUCUCUCACCUCAGCACCUAUUCCAAUGUCUUUCUCAUAUAUUAGGCACUUGAUAAAACUUGAAAAAAAUAAGCAUUCAAGUGAAAAAGUUUAAAAAUUACAAAAUAAAAUGAAAUGAAUGCUAAUAGAAGGAAGUAGUUAAUGCAAUUUAAAUUAGAAAUUAAUUUUAAAAAACACUUGUAGACUUACCCAAUUUUUCCAAAUUUGAUAAAAGAAAAGAAAAAUGACACAAUUAUAGCAGCAUGAAUAACAAUAGGAUGACAAUUAUAGCAGCAUGAAUAACAAUAGGGAUAUUAUUAACACAGAUACUGAUGUUCUUUGUGAGGAAAUAUUAUGUAAAUUUAUUUCAAUAUAUACAAAAUUCCAGUUAAUGAAUUAAUUAUUGUCUAGAAAGUGAACUUUAUUGAAAUUGAUAAAACAUAAUCAAGCCUGAAAAGACCAUUAAUGAGUGGGAAAGUUAAAUUUAGCCAAAAAGCUCCUUUUUAUAAGCCAGCACUUACAAUCUGUUAGCUCCUUGGAUAAAAACUUCAAGGAGAUAAUCCUUAACAGAAUUUUCCCAGUUCAUGCUGCAUGACUGAUGUAAUCCAGAUGACCAAACUAGAGAAUAGUUAUUAAAAGGCAAAAUCUAGAUGAGUUCUAAUUAAAUAGAAAAGGCAAAAAGCUAAAUAGAAUAUUUGUCAGCAAAAUGAUAUAAAAGCAUUAUGCAGUACAUUCUCAUUUAUUUGAAAUAAACCAGCAUUGGAAAUUUCUAAUUGUGUACAUAUCUAGCUUAAGUGAUUGAAAACAGAACUUGAUCAAUUCUCUUUUAUCUUCUAGAUUCAUUCUCUUAGCCUUACUAUCACUGAUAUUGUCCUGAUUUCUCAAAAUGAAAAAGUGCUCUCUCAUUUUAACAUUUUGAAGGUGAUACAGUUUAUCAGUGGCAUCCUGUAAUUACUUUCAAGUAAAUACCAACCAAGAUUUUUAUGUGUAUGAAAAGCUUUCAUUGGUAUUUUCUGGUAAGAUCAACAGUGUUCCAGUAUCAAAACAGUUUAUAUUUGAUGGAAUGUAUUGUAUGUAUAUACACAUGCCUAUACACACUCUAGACAUAAGGAUUUAAAUUUAAUUUAUAAGAGUUUCUUGAAAACAACCACCAAAACAAAGGCACUUCAAUGUUUUUGUUUAGAUUUUAAUAAAUGGCGCUGGGACUAUUAUACAUACAAUACAUACCACAUAUAGGCAGCUCCCAAAAAUCUAAAUAACUUCUGGUGAAUAUCAGAGAAUACCUGAAGUACUUGGCAUUAGAUCAUCUAAGGAAAACAGAUGAUCUAAGACCAGAACACGAGAGAAUAUACACCACAAUUUAAAAAGUAAGUGUGGCAUAAUGUGAUCUAUGUCUAGGGUUUGUCACAAGGAGCAUGAGUGGAGACAGUGGCAACAGUGAGAUUGCUGGGAGAAGUAAUUUCACCUAGCAUAUCACCCUUUCUUAAACUAGUUAGUAAGUACUAUUGUUUGCUUCUGGGAGAAUGUCAGAGGCUACUGAUUGGUAUUAUUCUGGAAAAAACAGAAGCAUCCCUAUACUUAGGACUAGCUGGCAAGGAAUUUUGUACCACAACACCCCUCCUGCUAGCCUGUCUCUCUCUAAAGACAAAUCAGAGUACAAAUCAAGGCAGCACAUCCUAGUCCUGCCCUGAAGCAGAUUACAUCAAAAGGAUCCUCAAGUGUAAAACUGAGUAUAUGUCAGAAUUACCAAACAUUUGAUAAAAGUUGAUUCUCAUAUAAUAGAGAAACAAAGCUAACCAACUGGAAAUACUACCAGUAGAAUAAACAGAACAGGACUUUAAAGUAUGAAUAGCAUCCUCAAAAUGAUGUGAACAUAUAUACUAUAUCCCCAAAACAGAAUCUACUAGAGAUUACACAAGUUAUUUAAAUGUUUUUGUGAAAAUAACUCAGUAGAGGGACUUCUGUUUCUAAAAAGAUGGAAUACAUGUCCUUUUUGCCCUGUUCUUCCUGCUAAAUACAACUCAAAACUCUGGACAGUAUAUAUGAAACAUACAAGAUGACUCUCAAAGAUGAAGAGAAGCUAGGGACCACAGGACCUAAGGAAUAACAUGGGGUGAGUUCCACAGGUUUCAUUUAUAUCCCAGACUUGGAGCUGAAGAAGCUGGUAAUUGAAAUGCUAACGUGUAGAGACUGAAAAAAAAGUCUCAAGAAAAGCCUAUUCUCUCCAACCAGAGAAACAGGAAAGGACAGCCUAACAAGACAUGAAACUUUUAAACAACUGCUCUACUUCAGGCAAACACCACCAAAAAAUCUGUGCCCCUAUCCCCACCACUGACACCAGAGGCCAAAUGGAGACUCUAGCCCUCUGACCUUUAUCAGGUUGUAAAAAAGUAUCCCCAAUGUCCCCACCAGAUUGUGUCAGAAAAAGUCGAGUAUGAAGUCCAGCCUUUAAUGGGCCCCUCCACUACCAGUACAAUGUCAACGGUGCCUAAAUGGGGAGCCUGACCUUCCAUAGCCAAUGAAAAUAUUGUUCAGGAAAUGAGAAAUCAAGAACAGCCUCAGAUGAAAAUGAUUUUUAACAACAGGCAUACCCUCAAAGAAUGACUUCCAGGAUUUGUUGCCAACAAAACUUCCCCCAAAGAAUGCCUAAAGAAAUAUCUGUAAACAAAAAUGAAACAUUAAAGAAUCGUGGAAAACAAGGAAGGUAGAAAGAACACGAUAAGAGCAAAACUGUGGGUAAAAUAGACUUUCCUUUCCUUUCCUUAAUUAUGUUUGACAGCUGAAACAAAAAUCAUAACACUGUCUAAUGUGGUCUUCAAGAAAUAUUCAAGUCAAUUAGAGAGAGAAGGAAACUAAGGUUUCUACACUUACAGUGGAUAAAUGUUGAACCAUUAUACUUCAGUAUGUACAGCUGGCCCUCCAUGUCUGUGGGUUCCAUAUCCACAGGUUGAAAAUAUUUGAAAAAAAAUUCCAGAAAGUUCCAAAAAGCUAAACUUAAAUUUGCCACAUGCUGGCAACUAUUUACAUAGCAUUUACAUUGUAUUCCCAACUAUUUACAUAACAUUUAUAUUUUAUUAAGUAUUAUAAGUAGUCUAGAGAUAAUUUAUAGUAUACAAGCAUGUGUGUAGGUUAUAUGCAAGUACUAUACCAUUUUAUGUAAGUAGGGAAUUGAGCAUCUGUGGAUUUUGGUAUAUGCAGUGGGUCCAGUCAUUAAUACACUGUACCAGGGGACAACCGUAUAUAUUAUGUCAUGCCUAGAGCAACUCUUGAAAAAAUAUAUGAGACCCACAAAUACUCUAAACAGAAAAAUAGCAGAGUAGGAAACUAUAGCAGUCCAUCCAACCACAAAAGUAAUUAAUAGACUGGCAAAAACAGAAUCAACUUUUUCAAAAAUCUGGAAACUAAUCAAAAAAGUACAGCAUUCAGAGAACUGCUGAAUCAAGAAAAAAACAAGUGUUAUCAUACUAAGUAAGUCAGAAAGACAAAUACCAUAUGAUAUUACUUAUAUGUGGAGUCUAAAAUAUAACACAAAUGAACUUAUCUAUGAAACAGACUCAAAGAUAUAGAGAACAGGCUUAUGGUUGCCAGGGGGGUGGGGUGGGGUGGGGCAGGGAUGGAUUGAGAGUUUGGGAUUAGCACAUGCAAACUAUUAUAUAUAGAAUGCAUAAACAACAAGUUCCUACUGUAUAGCACAGAGAACUAUAUUCAGUAUCCUAUAAUAAACCAUAAUGGAAAAGAAAAAAUAACCAAGUGAAUCUCAGAGCUUUGUGGUAUUUUAAUUUACCCUGGUCCCAUGCCUCAUUCCCCAGCUCAGCAGCAGUCUUGACUACAACAGCCCACACUCCCAAUACUGCUACAUAGAAUCUAUAGGAAAGGGGAAAUCACAAUAGGAAAGGCAAAUAUAUAUUAAGGAUUGAAGAUUACUUAAAUAACCCAGUAUGCAGAUUGAAAAUAAAAUUUUAAAAUUGUAAAAGUGUUAACUACAAUAAACAGUAAAAGGAUAAACAUGAAGAUAAAAAGAGAACGUCAAAAUAAAGUCUGGGAGGAGGGAAAUAUAAAAAUAUGUAUCUUUUAGAACAUGAUUUAACUUGAAUGAUUAUCAGUUUAAAGCAAGUAGAUAUAGUUAUGGGUCAGCAUACUUGAACUCCAUGGUAACUACAAAGCAAAAACAUACAAUAGAUUCACAAAAUAUAAAAUAGAAAGGAACUCAAGCAUAUCACAAAAGAAAAUAAUCAGAAAAAAAGACUGCAAAAACAACUGCAAAACGAGGAUUAAAUGGCAAUAAAUAUACACCUAUCAAUAAUUACUUUAAACAUCAUUGGACUAAAUGCUCCAAUCAAAAGACAGAGUGGCAGAUUGGGGGAAAAAGAAAAAGAACCUGCAAUAUGCUGCCUACAAGACAUUCACUUCAGGGCGAAAGACACACACAGACUGAAAGUAAGGGGAUGGAUAAAGAUAUGUCAUGCAAAUAGAAAAGAAAAAGGCGGUAGCAAGACCCAUAUCAAACAAAAUAAAACAAGGCCAUAAAGAAAGACAAAGGCAUUACAUAAUGAUAUAGGGAUAAAUACAAGAGGAGGAUAUUACAUUUGUUAACAUGUACACACCCAAAACAGGAGCAUCUAAAUAUAUACGGCAAAUACAGACAUGGAGAAAUUGACAAUGCAAUAAUAUUGAGACUUUGACACCCCACUAACAUCAAUGGACGGAUCAUACAGACAGAAAAUAAAUAAGGCAAGAGAGAUCCUAAAUGACACAAACCAGUUGUACUUCAUUGAUAUCUACAGGACACUACAUCCAAAACAAACAAAAACAAAAUACACAUUCUUUUCAAGCACCCAUGGAAUGUUUUCUAGGAUAGACCACAUACUAGGUCACAAAAGCCUUAGCAAAGAAGAGGUCAGAAAUUAUUUCAAGCAUCUUUUCUGACCACAACGUUUGAAACUAUAAAUCACCAACAGAAAGAAAACAGGAAAAGAGACUUAUAUUAGAGACUAAACAACAUGCUACUUUAAAACCAAUGGAUCAGUGAUGAAAUCAAAGAAAUCAGAAAACUCCUUGUGGCAAAAGAAAAUGAAAACACAUUACCAAAUCUAUGAUGCACCAAAAACAGUUCUAGGAGGGAAGUUCAUAAUGAUACAGGCCUUCCUCAAGAAAUAAGAAAAAAAUCUCAAAAAAAAAAACCCCCAAGAAACAACCUAGGGACUUCCCUGGUGGUCCAGUGAUAAUGAAUCUGCCUUACAGUGCAGGGGACAUGGGUUCGAUCCCUGGUCAGGGAACUAAGAUCCCACAGGCUGUGGGGCAACUAAGCUCGCACACCACAACUACUGAGCUUGCAUGCUUCAACUACAGAAGCUGUGUGCCGAAAACUACUGGGCCCACACACCCUGGAGCCUGCGCACCACAACUAGAGAGAGAAAACCCACAUGCCACAACUAGAGAGAAGCCCGCACACUGCAACAAAAGAUGCCACAUGCCUCGACAAAUAUCCUGCAUGCCACAACUAAGACCCAACACAGCCAAAAAUAAAUAAAAUAAAUAAUAAAUAAAUCUUUAAACCCCCCCCACCCAAAAA
Long non-coding RNA from Physeter macrocephalus (sperm whale), 7949 nucleotides. RefSeq lists it as uncharacterized. The record is from RefSeq and is a predicted model, not a curated record. The transcript is spliced from 4 exons. Lineage: Eukaryota; Metazoa; Chordata; Mammalia; Artiodactyla; Physeteridae.